Molecule: ribosomal RNA, 254 nt
Filed under: uncultured bacterium
Lineage: Bacteria
Description: partial 16S ribosomal RNA
Rfam family: Bacterial small subunit ribosomal RNA
Source: RNAcentral
UACGUAGGGUGCAAGCGUUUAUCCGGAAUCACUGGGCGUAAAGCGUGCGUAGGUGGCGCGUUAAGUGAGAUGUUAAAUCGUGUGGCUCAACCAUAUCGAUGCAUCUCAUACUGGCGUGCUAGAGGACGGCAGAGGCAAGUGGAAUUGGUAGUGUAGCAGUGAAAUGCGUAGAUAUUACCAGGAACACCAAUGGCGAAGGCAGCUUGCUGGGCCACUCCUGACACUGAGGUACGAAAGCGUGGGGAGCGAACAGG